GGUGGAAGAGAGAGGCCCCAUCCACUCUCUAAAGACAUUUAUUCGGGUCUGGAUGUUCUACACGCUCCUACUUCAUGAACUAUAAGCCUUCUUCCUUUUGGGAGCCUUUGUGCAUCUUCAUGAAGUUACAGACUAUGCCCUCCGGCUUUGCAGGACCUUAUUCUGUUGCAUCACUCCUGUGCUGGUGGUAGCUUCCCAGGUCAUCCCUACGCUGUGAGAGCUCAUUCCUGACUAUGAACAUCCUCCACGGCACCCAGGUCGCCUUCGG
Long non-coding RNA from Nothoprocta perdicaria, 268 nucleotides. RefSeq lists it as uncharacterized. NCBI's taxonomy places the organism in Eukaryota, Metazoa, Chordata, Aves, Tinamiformes, Tinamidae. The transcript has 2 exons. The record is from RefSeq and is a predicted model, not a curated record.